This 253-nucleotide ribosomal RNA is filed under the name uncultured bacterium. Its description in RNAcentral is "partial 16S ribosomal RNA". It matches the Rfam family "Bacterial small subunit ribosomal RNA", at positions 524 to 776 of the family's 1533-position model. The record is from RNAcentral.
UACAGAGGCCUCGAGCGUUAGGCGGAAUCACUGGGCUUAAAGCGUGUGUAGGCGGAUUUCUAAGUACCUUGUGAAAUCCCACUGCUCAACCGUGGAACUGCUUGGUAUACUGGUUAUCUUGAGCCACCUAGGGGCCUGCGGAACAGAUGGUGGAGCGGUGAAAUGCGUAGAUAUCAUCUGGAACGCCAACGGUGAAAACAGCAGGCUGGGGGUGUGCUGACGCUGAGACACGAAAGCCAGGGGAGCAAACGGG